ACGGGAGGCAGCAGUGGGGAAUAUUGCACAAUGGGCGAAAGCCUGAUGCAGCGACGCCGCGUGAGUGAAGAAGUAUUUCGGUAUGUAAAGCUCUUUAAGCAGGGAAGAUAAUGACGGUACCUGCAGAAUAAGCCCCGGCUAACUACGUGCCAGCAGCCGCGGUAAUACGUAGGGGGCAAGCGUUAUCCGGAUUUACUGGGUGUAAAGGGAGCGUAGACGGCAUAGCAAGUCUGAAGUGAAAGCCCGCGGCUUAACUGCGGGACUGCUUUGGAAACUGUCAUGCUAGAGUGUCGGAGAGGUGAGUGGAAUUCCCAGUGUAGCGGUGAAAUGCGUAGAUAUUGGGAAGAACACCGGAGGCGAAGGCGGCUCACUGGACGAUAACUGACGUUGAUGCUCGAAAGCGUGGGGAGCAAACAGGAUUAGAUACCCUGGUA
Molecule: ribosomal RNA, 434 nt
Filed under: uncultured Clostridium sp.
Lineage: Bacteria; Bacillati; Bacillota; Clostridia; Eubacteriales; Clostridiaceae
Description: partial 16S ribosomal RNA
Rfam family: Bacterial small subunit ribosomal RNA
Source: RNAcentral